Oryza sativa Japonica Group (Japanese rice) is the source of this 208-nucleotide microRNA precursor. It matches the Rfam family "MIR812 microRNA precursor family". The record is from Rfam. NCBI's taxonomy places the organism in Eukaryota, Viridiplantae, Streptophyta, Magnoliopsida, Poales, Poaceae.
UUUAAGUACAACCAUAAGUUUUCGUGUCUAACUUUGAUCAUCCAUCUUAUUUGAAAUUUUUUAUAAUUAGUAUUUUUUUUUGUUGUUAUGAGAUGAUAAAAGAUGAAUAGUAUUUUACUCGUGACUUAUGUUUUUAAUUUUUUUAAAAAAACUUUCAAAUAAAACGGACGAUCAAAGUUAGGCGCGAAAAACCAUGGAUGCACUUAAA